RNAcentral lists this non-coding RNA (216 nucleotides) under Afipia sp. The record is from RNAcentral. Lineage: Bacteria; Pseudomonadati; Pseudomonadota; Alphaproteobacteria; Hyphomicrobiales; Nitrobacteraceae.
ACCAGAUGUAGCCGUUACGGUCUACCCUGCCGCAAGACAUGGUAGCUAAGAGAGAAGUCCGGUGAGCUGCAAAUCGUUGCAGCGAUUCCGGCGCUGCCCCCGCAACUGUAAGCGGUAAGCCUUUGUCCAUCGAUGCCACUGGAGCGGAAGCUCUGGGAAGGCGGACAUCGGCGUCGACCCGCAAGCCAGAAGAACUGCCGUCACACAAAAACGUCC